Molecule: ribosomal RNA, 437 nt
Filed under: uncultured bacterium
Lineage: Bacteria
Description: partial 16S ribosomal RNA
Rfam family: Bacterial small subunit ribosomal RNA
Source: RNAcentral
AGCGAACGCUGGCGGCAGGCUUAACACAUGCAAGUCGAGCGGGCAUCCUUGUGGUGUCAGCGGCAGACGGGUGCGUAACGCGUGUGAACGUGCCCUUCGGUUCGGAAUAACUCGAGUAAACUUAAGCUAAUACCGGAUACGUGCGAGAGCAGAAAGGUUUAUCUGCCGAAGGAUCGGCCGGCGUCUGAUUAGUUAGUUGGUGAGGUUAGGGCUCACCAAGGCGACGAUCAGUAGCUGGUCUGAGAGGAUGAUCAGACACACUGGGACUGAGACACGGCACAGACUCCUACGGGAGGCAGCAGUGGGGGAUAUUGGACAAUGGGGGCAACCAUGAUCCAGCCAUGCCGCGUGAGUGAUGACGGCCGUAGGGUUGUAAAGCUCUUUUCUCCGGGACGAUAAUGACGGUACCGGAGGAAUAAGCCCCGGCUAACUUCGUG